GGGCCGGUAGCUCAGUGGUAGAGCGAAGGAUUGCAACUCAUCAGCAAUCAUCCUUAGGUCUCGUGUUCGAACCACGAUCGGCCCU
The sequence is a transfer RNA, 85 nucleotides long. It matches the Rfam family "tRNA". From Rfam's summary of the family: Transfer RNA (tRNA) molecules are approximately 80 nucleotides in length. The record is from Rfam.